RNAcentral lists this ribosomal RNA (371 nucleotides) under uncultured bacterium. Its description in RNAcentral is "bacterial SSU rRNA". It matches the Rfam family "Bacterial small subunit ribosomal RNA", at positions 527 to 896 of the family's 1533-position model. The record is from RNAcentral.
AGAGGUCCCAAGCGUUACUGAGAAUCACUGGGUUUAAAGGGUGCGUAGGUGGUCCGUUAAGUCAGUUGUGAAAUCCCCGGGCUCAACCCGGGAACUGCUUCUGAUACUGGCGGACUUGAGGCCAGUAGAGGUCACUGGAACUGACGGUGGAGCGGUGAAAUGCGUAGAUAUCGUCAGGAACGCCGGUGGUGAAGACGGGUGACUGGGCUGGUUCUGACACUGAGGCACGAAAGCGUGGGGAGCGAACGGGAUUAGAUACCCCGGUAGUCCACGCCCUAAACGAUGCAGACUAGAUUGCAGCGGGUUACACCCCGUUGCGGUCGGAGCGAAAUUGUUAAGUCUGCCACCUGGGAAGUACGGUCGCAAGGCUA